GUGUACAUACCUAAACGUUGCUUCGGCGGGAACAGACGGCCCCGUGAAACGGGCCGCCCCCGCCAGAGGACCCCUAACUCUGUUUCUAUAAUGUUUCUUCUGAGUAAAACAAGCAAAUAAAUUAAAACUUUCAACAACGGAUCUCUUGGCUCUGGCAUCGAUGAAGAACGCAGCGAAAUGCGAUAAGUAAUGUGAAUUGCAGAAUUCAGUGAAUCAUCGAAUCUUUGAACGCACAUUGCGCCCGCCAGUAUUCUGGCGGGCAUGCCUGUUCGAGCGUCAUUACAACCCUCAGGCCCCCGGGCCUGGCGUUGGGGAUCGGCGGAGCCCCCCGUGGGCACACGCCGUCCCCCAAAUACAGUGGCGGUCCCGCCGCAGCUUCCAUCGCGUAGUAGCUAACACCUCGCGACUGGAGAGCGGCGCGGCCACGCCGUAAAACACCCAACUCUUCUGAAGUUGACCUCGAAUCAGGUAGGAAUACCCGCUGAACUUAAGCAUAUCAA
RNAcentral lists this ribosomal RNA (500 nucleotides) under Fusarium sp. Its description in RNAcentral is "eukaryotic LSU rRNA". The stretch from base 126 to 279 matches the Rfam family "5.8S ribosomal RNA". The record is from RNAcentral. Lineage: Eukaryota; Fungi; Ascomycota; Sordariomycetes; Hypocreales; Nectriaceae.